UCCGUAGGCGGUGCGGCAAGUCGGGAGUGAAAUCUCUGGGCUUAACCCAGAGGCUGCUUCCGAAACUGCCGCGCUAGAGUGUGAGAGAGGCGAGCGGAAUUGCGGGUGUAGCGGUGAAAUGCGUAGAUAUCCGCAGGAACAUCCGAGGCGAAGGCGGCUCGCUGGAUCACAACUGACGCUGAGGGACGAAAGCUAGGGGAGCAAACAGGAUUAGAUACCCUGGUAGUCCUAGCCCUAAACCAUCAGGACUUGGGGUUUGCCCUGUACGGGGCAAGUCCCGUAGCUAACGCGUUAAGUCCUGCGCCUGGGGAGUACGGUCGCAAGGCUGAA
RNAcentral lists this ribosomal RNA (330 nucleotides) under uncultured bacterium. RNAcentral describes it as "bacterial SSU rRNA". It matches the Rfam family "Bacterial small subunit ribosomal RNA", at positions 568 to 898 of the family's 1533-position model. The record is from RNAcentral.